UGAGGCAUCUGAACACCCUGAGCGUCCUCCGAGGAGAAAGUGAUGGUUGCUGAAGAGUGUUCGACGAUCUGCAUGACCUCAGCACUGCUGUUUUCUCCCUCUCGGCUUCUCUUUUUCCCCCUUCGGCUCAUCCGACCUCCUGUGCCUCCUACGAUCAUAUUGAUGGUUCCACUAGACCCGUCAUUCACAGUGUUAGCUCCUGUUCUUCUCGGCGUUUGGACUGCCGGAUUGGGUUGAGGUCUCUGUCCUUCCGGUUUCUUUACAAAGUUCUUCAGGUGCCCUCUCUUUAUCAACCUCUCGAUUUCUGCAAUCAACUGGAAACAGUUAUUGGUGUCGUGACCAUGAGUACGAUGGAACUGACAG
This 363-nucleotide long non-coding RNA is filed under the name Manihot esculenta (cassava). Its description in RNAcentral is "long non-coding RNA (MESC_LNC004583)". Lineage: Eukaryota; Viridiplantae; Streptophyta; Magnoliopsida; Malpighiales; Euphorbiaceae. The record is from RNAcentral.